GAGAGAGAGAGAGAGAGAGGAGGAGGAGGUUCUGCUAGUCACUGCAGUCACGCUCUCUCCCUCUAUUCACGCGCAGUGCACUUGCCUAGCGAUGCUACAGCGGUUCCUCCUCCCUUAUGUAUUGGACUGUACAGCUACAAGAGGCGGGAGAUGCGCAUCAGCAACCCGCUACCCGCCGAAGCUCUCUCCACUUCAGGACGGAAGAGACUAAAUGUGAAUGCAUUCAGGUGCAAACUUGCAUGAACUAAAAAAUAGUCCAUGCCGGGGUUUCGGGAUGUUAGAUAGCUGCACGUAGCCUUUUCUAGGGCUAUAUCUCACUGUUGGACGAGGGAUUCGGCGGCGUCCUCAGCUGUUGCAUUUGGGGGCUGAAGUGUUCCGAGCACAGAGAGAGGCCAGGCAACUAUGCGAUUUGAUUUCGAACGGUAAUUUCGGAUCAGUUUGACUGCGAGCGGAGGUUGACUGCCAGUGCCCUCUGAGUUGUAUUUCAAGCCUUUUGUCGCCGGUAUUCCCGACAACGGAACCGUAGGGAUGGAAAAAGCUAGUCAGCCACAGCUUUCGCUGUCCAUAACAAAGAGUGAAAGUCCAGCGGAGGACAUCUCAAAUAUACAGGACGAGGACCUUCUCAAGUGGACCAAAGAGGAUUUGGUGCGGCGGCUCCGGCGGUCUGAAGCUGAUAAAAUGAGCGUGAUACUGGACCACAGCAAUCUGAUCCGCGAGGUCAAUCGCAGCCUCCAGCUGCACUUGAACGAGAUAAGAGGGCUGAAGGACAUCAACCAGAAACUGCAGGAGGACAACCGGGAGCUGAGGGACCUGUGUUGCUUCCUGGAUGACGACCGUCAGAAGGGCAAGCGGGUGUCCAGGGAGUGGCAGCGACUGGGGCGCUACAGCGCCUCCAUCAUGAGGAAGGAGGUGACAUUGUACCUUCAGAAGCUCAAGGAGCUGGAGGUGCGGCAGGACGAGGUGGUCCGGGAGAACCUGGAUCUCAAAGAACUCUGUUUGUUGCUUGACGAGGAGAAAGGAAGAGGUGGUGGAGGGGUGGGGGUUGGUGGUGUAGGAGGAGGAGGGGGAGGUUGUGUGGUGGGGGUGGCAGGAGGGUGUAGGAAUUCUAUCGAUAGCCAGAGUAGUUUGUUGCUGGUCCCCGGGACAGGGUUGUUGAUGAGGGACGUGGGGGAUGGUAGUAGUACGUCUAGCGCGGGGAGCGCCGACAGCUCCGAUCACCCCCACCACAAGCAGCUCCACCUGGCUACACACGCCGGUAGCCUCGGGGGCGGUGGAACUGGGAGCCCGGAGCAUCUCCAAAAGCCCCGGGCUGGCAGUGUGAGUGGAGAACGUGAGAUCCCCUCCAGCCCUGAACCUCCUCACCCCCAGGGCAGGCACCGUAGCACCAGCCUGGAGUAUCCCUACGCCAUGCCCCAGCUCUGCCGGCCCCGCUGCGGCUCCAUCUCGGUGCCCGACCACACCCAUAGCGCCCGUUCCAUGCGGGGGCUCAGCCCUGAGAAGUACGGCCGCAACGUGGGACGCCGGAGCCCCGAGUCCCAGCACCCAUCCACCAAGCACCACCACCUCCACAGCUCCGACCUGCUUCUCUCCCAGAAACAGCAGCACCUCCUGGGGUCGGGUCAGGGCGGCAGCGCCGGGGAGCUCUACCAGAGGCACCACAGGGGGAGCAUCGGGGGCGGUAGCUGCUGUGGAAGCCCCGAGCCCAGACAGGCACAUCUAGGGUUGGGGACGCCAGAGCACCAGCACCAUGAGAAGGGCUGUGUGAUGUCGGCCGGGGGCAGUCCAGAGACUCACAGGCACCAGUAUAGUGGGAGUCCAGACCACAUGAAGUUCGGCAGCCCUGGGAGAGAGGCACAGAAGAGACCGGCCACCGCUGAAGAGCUGUCACCGCAUCACAGGAGCAUCUACAACGGCAUGAACGGAUCUGGGCCUGGUCGGGUGUAUGUAGUAGAUCCCUCGUGUCCAACUAAUUGAAGAAGAACUCCUCGUCUAAUUUGAGCUUUGAUGUCAGCUGGAUGCUGUACCACCAACUGUAGAAAUGUGAAAAUAUGGGACAGCUUCGAUGCCUCUUCUUGACCACACUGCACCCCAGCUGGGGGAUAAGGAGUGUCCAACACUCCUGCUGCCCUGGCCCAAACAGACACUAGGACAACUGGACACCCCUCUCCACGAUCCUGAUGUUCUGUCCCAUCCGUCCUCACGUACUACUAUGUUUUCAUUUCUACAUAUCUAGAGUUCGGGACAAUUUGGGGGAAAACUUGGGAAUGCUAUUAGGACAGAUGGAUGGCAUUCCCAAAGACUGCCACAGCUAAAUGGAUGAGAGCUAGACUGGAUCCCGAAUAUGAGCUCCCUGCCAACCACCAUGACAUGACCUACCCCCCAGAGAGGGAAAGAUGCAGGGGAAGAAGUGAAAAGAAGGAGAGAAGAAGAGGAACCCUCCUCUCUGUUUACAGAUUAAUCUCAUCAGUCUGGGGUCCACUAUCUCUCUCUCUCUCUCUUUAUCUAUUUUUAUCUCUCUCUCUUUCUCUCGCUCUCUCCUCUUCCUCCCUCUGCCUCUACCCUUUCUCUCUUAAUCUCUCUCAAUCUCUCUCUCUUA
RNA transcript from Oncorhynchus mykiss (rainbow trout), 2596 nucleotides. RefSeq lists it as uncharacterized. The record is from RefSeq and is a predicted model, not a curated record. NCBI's taxonomy places the organism in Eukaryota, Metazoa, Chordata, Actinopteri, Salmoniformes, Salmonidae.